CUGAGGGGACAGGGCCUGGCAGGGACACGGGGGGCAUUGCCCUGUCCCCACAGCAUGACAGGGUCACAGGGGAUAGAACCAUAAAUCACCGAAUCAUUAGGGUUGGAAAAGACCUCCGAGAUCACCUGGUCCAACCGUCCCCCUCCCACCACUGUCACCCACCGAACCCUGUCCCCAAGCACCACGUCCAGCCUCUCCUCGAACACCCCCAGGGGUGGAGAUGCCACCACCUCCCUGGGCAACCCGCUGGGAGGGACUGGCCCUGUCCCCACAGCAGGACAGGGACACGGGACGGUUAGGCAUUGUCCCCACACCAGGACAAGGACACAGGAUGGUUGGCCCCCACACCAGGACAGGGACACAGGAUGGUUGGCCCUGUCCCCUCACCAGGACAGGGAGAAACUCGUUUCAGCUGCUGGGAGGAGAACAUGGCUCAGACCGCAGCAGGGAGCUGAAGCUUACCUCUAACUGUAAGAGGCCACCGAGGUGAGGGACACUUUCUUCCCUGGCUGGCUUCUGUGGCACAGCUGUCCCUUUAUGUUUGGAAGCAGGAGAGAGGGCAGCGAGCCUGGUUGCCCAGAGCUGCCUUAGGGACACCACAGGGAAGCCUGGAGCGAACUAUUUGCUCUCGGCCACUCUGCAGCACCUCCUGCGUUGCUCCUGCCCUCAGCUCCCAGCCCAGGCGCUUGCCUGCGUUACAUUCCGCCUGGUGCAUCUCUGUGCGUCUGUCUUCCAAGCUGCAGCCUUGCUCCCAGGCACGCUUUUCUCUCACGUCUAGAUUUGGUACAAGCUUGGUUUCUCAGUCCUCACCCUUCCUUGUCCUGAUAGGGGUAGAUGGCUCCAGCCUUACCCUGAGAGCGCUCUUCACUCCCUGGCCUGGCAGAUCACAUCUCAAAUUUCUCGAUAACCAAAGUAUUUGGUGUCCUGAAGCAGUUUGGCUUCUUUGGACCUGUCCUAGCACUUAGUCAGCUCUAGGGAGGAAAGUAAGUAGGCUGGGCACACGGCCAUGCAACUCCCAGGGCUGAGCAAGCGAGGAACAACGCAGGGAAAAACCAAGCCCCGCGAGGAGGCAGUGAAGGCAAAGAGGACGAGGCGAAGCGUAUCAGCUGGGACAAGGAGACACUGAAUUAAAAGGACAGUCAUUUGAUUCACUCACUGCGGCUCGGGAAGAGCAGUGCACUACCUCAAAAAGAGCUUGCUUACUGCCGAGAGAAGGGAGACAGGGCUUAAUGACAUUUAACUAAUUACUGCAAGAGUCACUGCUUAGUUAAUUUGGUCGGUUUCUCCUUCAUGGCACUGUGUGGACAAGCCCUGGGCAGGAGCAGCGCAGCAGAAAUGCCAGCAGCAAGCCUGAGGAAGGAGCUGCUGUCAGGCAGCAUCACGACACCAGGGCCUCAGAGAGGGUCCGCUGGGGCUCGGUGCUCCUGGCUGCAGCUGCCACGGCUUCAUUUCCCCCCGCAGUAGCCUGAUGUGAUCAGCAAGCUGGCAGC
Long non-coding RNA from Anser cygnoides (Swan goose), 1490 nucleotides. The record is from Ensembl. NCBI's taxonomy places the organism in Eukaryota, Metazoa, Chordata, Aves, Anseriformes, Anatidae.